CGUACGAUUUUUAACGCGAACGCGACUCUGUUCGACGGCGGGAAAAGAAAAUCCGUGGUUAUAUUUAAAUAACCGCGUUCUGUCUGACGAACAGGCGAGAAGCAACGGUUCGACGAGCAGCUUUUAGCCUCGAUGCAGCCGCGACCGGUCGUGAUUUUCAUUUUUCCACUAUGGCCGAUACAAGCGGCACAGACAUCGAGCCGUACAAAGUCCGACGGAGAUCGAUGAUUGUGUGUUGGUGCACUCGUCUCUUCGUAGUCAGAGUAAAAAGACGGGUUUAUCUCACGACGAUUAACCAGCCGGCGAUCGACAAAUGGAACGAACAAUACGCCGCGUAUCACGGAUUGAUUUUGAUAUUUUGGAGCCACUUGUUGGGACUAUCCAACGCUUUAUUUGGGAUCGUAGAGGAAGAAAUGCAAUAUAGUUUUUAUAUAAAAGACAAAGAGUAGAGCUGGAGGAAAUAUAGGAAGAUUUGCUAGGAAGAAUGUACGGCAAAUUGGUUACAUUUAAGGAUUAAGUUCGAGACUUAAAAAUUAUUUUAGGACAGAUCGUUUAAACUGUAAUUCUUAUUAAAGAUUCUACUCUUACUAUUAUUAGAGAAUGAUAAAACUGCUCCACAUACAAUAAUGUAGCGUAAUUAACUUAUCAUAAUAUAACUACGUAUUCUGUAUUUCGUCACAGGCCCCACUGAUUCUAUUUUCGCUGAUAA
Molecule: long non-coding RNA, 709 nt
Organism: Bombus terrestris (buff-tailed bumblebee)
Lineage: Eukaryota; Metazoa; Arthropoda; Insecta; Hymenoptera; Apidae
Exons: 3
Source: RefSeq, a predicted model, not a curated record